Molecule: transfer RNA, 71 nt
Filed under: Cordylochernes scorpioides
Lineage: Eukaryota; Metazoa; Arthropoda; Arachnida; Pseudoscorpiones; Chernetidae
Description: tRNA-OTHER
Source: RNAcentral
GGGCUCGUCCGGGAUUUGAACCCGGGACCUCUCGCACCAAAGCAAGAAUCAUACCCCUAGACCAACGAGCC